AUAGCUUAAAUUAAAGCUUCAUGGCUUAGCAGAGAAUUGGAAAUAAGCUAGUUUUUAUUGAUUUUUGUGAAGAGUUUAUACAAGCACAUGUGAAUGGGUGUAUAUACAAUCUGGCAACCCAGUUGUCAAUAGACGCAUAUGCUCACGGAGAAGAGAGAGAGAGAGAGAGAGAGAGAGAGCGAGCGAAGGGAAUGGAGUAAUGCGGCUGACAAAGUGAGUUUAAUGGGCAAAACGCCAAAGAAAUAAAUUAACACCGCGUUAUAUAGCCACUACAAAAGUACAAUAAGUUAAAAACUUCAUUUUGGUUCGAAUUGAAAUAAGCACUAACGAGAAAACUGGUAAAGUUGCCCCGAGAAACGCCGAAGUGGAUGAACUGACAGGCUAAUUCUGUCGACGUUAGCGUUAGCCGUGGAGACCUCGUACUCUCGUGGCGAUGAAAGGCGGUAGUGUACACCGAGUCCACUCCGCAUGACUCAGCAGCCAUUCUUCGUGCCAUGUGAGUAAUGUUUGGAUACUAAUCUCUUAAAAGCUGUCUAUUAUCCCUCUCCUAUAGCGCUCAGCUCGGAUAAACAAUAGAGAGCCACAUCUGUGAUCUACUGCCCUUUGUUCAUCGUACAGCAGGACGUGACCGCGUUCACGACGCGCGUGGACUCUCACGAUGUAGAAGCCUGACACGUAUUUAUCCAGGUGUACCAACUCCUCCCAGUUCAAACCCCUCGCCUGGCUCCAGUCCUGGGCUUUCCUGUGAUUUUUCUCAUUUAAUCACUCCUUCAAUUGCAUACAAACGUCCGUAAGCUGCACGUGUGAAAUCUACGUAAUUAAAGCACAAGGACGUUCUGAUGUCGUCAUAACAUUUACCCGGACUCAAACGGUAUCGGACAUCACUCGACGGCAUUUUAUGUUGACGAGAAAAUGCAAAAAUAGAACCGGAUGUUCACAUGUUUGAUGUAUUAACUUAACCACGCAUCAGCAGAGACACUGUGAGGACGCAGUCUUGUGCGUUUUCAUCUUGAAUCCGACGACUAUUUAAAGUUCGGAUUUUAAUUUGGCAGCACCCGAGCAGACGAGAGGACGGGAGCGGAUGGUGACGUUCAUUCCUGUGUAAACGAACACGCGUGCAAGCACGACGGGUCACGUCGAGGUCCGCAAAAACGAUCCAGGUCACGUCCGUAUAUCGCGCGAUGAGUCAAUAACGUAAUUAU
Molecule: long non-coding RNA, 1202 nt
Organism: Ictalurus punctatus (channel catfish)
Lineage: Eukaryota; Metazoa; Chordata; Actinopteri; Siluriformes; Ictaluridae
Source: Ensembl